GCCUCCCCGCCUGACAGCAAACCUGCUUGUUGGCACUUGCGCGUUCCUCCUCGCCAGUUUCACCCCGGAUUUGGCUCCGUCCACUAGCAACCCAGCUCCCGGCUAAACUCCCAGCCCUAAGCAGGGGCCUUGACCCAGCAUUCCCAAUGACUCCUGCUUUUCCAGAGGCGACACCCUUCUUGGAAACAGACUCGCCGGACACCGCUGGUUAGGGCGGCGGGUGCCUGGGUCCCCGGCCAAGACCUUAGAUGGUGCCCCUCUGCCACGCCACGGUCUUUGACCUGGCCCAAACCCCUAACUCAGCCGGGGAGCCGGAUGGCUUCCCACCGGUAGGGUACCCAGCCCUCCCUAACACCGCGCGCCAGGAAAAACGGGUGGAAGCGGGGAAGCCCACCUCAAGACGGGGAUCCCACGGGCCUACCUCCUCCAGAAAGCCGCGGCGGGCCAACUCACCUCGGGGAAGCAGUCCUUGGCGAAGACAUGGAGCAGCGCAGUUUUUCCACACUGACUGUCUCCCACCACAACUAUCUUGCAUUUCACGUUCUGAUUAGGAUCCAUGAUAGAUUUGCUGGAUAAUUUCUGGCUGGCUCUUCUCUCCUUCAUUGAUGUUGCCUUAUUUUCUCUUGGAACAGGAAUUUUCUCUUAUGAAGAAAAAUUAUAUAUAUGUUUAUAUGUCUUUCGUUAUAAAAAUAAAUCGCAAGGCUGAUGGAAAACCCCUGAAGCGCGGCGCAGACGAGGAGGAGAGCUAGCGGAGCCGGCUCGUUACUCCCCUCCAACAAGUUUUCUGUCUGACUCCUCACCGGGCCUCCCAAGUCCAAUUCCGAUCCGACUGCUUUGUUUCACGCUCUCUGCGCGGCUUUAUACUCCCGGCCUUCCAAUCCUCUGCUUUCUCAAUGAGAGGAGGAAACUGAUCUGCCUCCUCCCCUUUUGUGGAGCCUGGGAGUGAGCGCUCUGCGUUGUUUGCAGAAAAUGUAAGCAGUGCGCCCUCUAGGGUGCCCGUUCAGGAUCUAUUUCAGACCAAGGCUCUGGGACAACUUCAAGACCUCAAAGAUGUUUUGCUGACAAGUCCAACAGGGCAAGGUGGGAAACCGAUAUCUAUGCAUAUCGAUUUGAACUACAAUCCCUUUAAAUACAUUUUAAUAGGGUCUUAUGUCUAGAAGCCUCAUAAGCAUUUAUGAAAACAAAAACAUUUCCCACCCUAAAGCACAGUUAUAAAACAUAGGAAGCAAAUCUUGGGCACAGAAGAGUUAAGGUUCUGUUUUUUCUAAUGAUUUGUGUCAAGUACAUAGGCCAUGGACCAAUAGAUCAGCCUGUUUAUUCCCGAUGCAAGAACUGGUGUGGCUGGGUCACAGUAGUGGAAUGGCUUCUGAAACCUGUCAGUUUCAGUCAUAAAGGUGGAUGCAGAAAGGUUUUGAGGAGUGGGGACAGGAGGUGGGAGGUGAGAAGAAAAAGAAGUGGAAGAUGCUCAUGACUGAGUGACAAAGGCCAUUGCAGACAGCCCUACUGCACUUGGGACACAAACACUUGUCCGCCGAGUUGCACCUCUCCACAUUUGCAGUGAGGAGACUGCAAAUGGUGAAAGGUGGACAGAUUUUGAUACUGUCUGUUAAUUAUUUAUCUAUAGCCUCCUCCAUCCUCGUGGAAUCAAAGCACCCUAGGCUGAACUCAGAAGGCACAAACACUUUUAGCUGAAAAAUACAGGUACAACCCUCCACUCUCUCUUCUCCCCUCCUCCACAUCUAUUUCCCUAGCCCUCCAACUCUUCACCAAAAGCAAAAGUCUUAGAAAGGACCAGAAUAGUCCACGUAUUUGUUCUUUUUCUAUCAGAAGUCUUUCUUAUUCUCCUCUUCAUCUCGUGCACCCCAAAUGCUCAGGAGGUUUCAGUCAUUACACUGUAGUAGGACAUUGGCUAAAAAUAACUUAUAUGGUCCCCGAUGGAGCCUCCUAGUCUUUUAAAUGAGAUGAAGGUGGGGUGAAAACAAACGAAGCAGAACGUUCAACAUGGGAAGUGAAAAGGCACUGAUGUAAGUAGUGGACUGGUAGGGCCCCUGAAGCGUAGGUGAUCCAAGAAUGAUGUCCUAUUCAGGUCUGAGAAAAUUGGAACCCCCACCAAAAGCAGUGACUCAGACUCCAUCGGUGGGUCUGUGUUUACACAAGUGGAAGGCUGACCCACAGACAAGUAGGUUGCUGGCCCUGCUGGGGUUCCUAGAGCAGCCUUUGCCAAUGUUUGCUCUUCAGAGCUAUAGUGCCUCCUGACACACAGGGUACCAUGGGCCAAUUAGUGAGGGUGAAACUGUGUCCGCAUCACUUGUUGAAGAUUCAGCAAGCACACUGAUACGUUACAAACAUUUAAAAAUCCUAGAGAAAAGCAGCCUAUUUAAUAUAGUUUAACCUAGCAUUUCCCACAGCUACUUAAACACAGCAAACAUUUAUCAAAUUAUUUACAUGUUUGCUUGUUCGUUUACUUGAUUGAGAAGCAAUGGGCAUAGUAGUUGAGGCAGGAUAUCACAAAGAGGUGUAUUUGGGUCCCCAACUUCACAUUUUCCGUAUGACCGUGGAUGGAUUAUUUAGCCUCUCUGAGCCUCAAUUUCACCAUCUGUAAAAUAGGAGUCAUAAUGUAAUUAUGAGGAAAUGCAAGUGAUGUAUGCAGAACAGUUUCUGGCACAAUAAAGAGUCCUUGACCUCUGUUAUAGUUUGCAUGUAAAAUCUUAUUUGCACUUCUCAUGACUGUUGAACGUGUCUUGAGAAAUUCCGGCUUCAUUAGUGGACUCACUAAUUGGCGCUGGGUCCAUCCCAUCUUUUGUCUUAUUUUUAAUUUCUUAAGUUACCCCUUUCCAGAGAUAUGAUUUGACCUUCCAUAUUCCUGAAUUUAUGUAGCUUAUAUGGUUAAAUCACUCUAACUAGAAAUAAUUAAGAGUGUUUAUGAAUUGGCUGAUCAAUGAAUAGGGUAACCAUAUAAUUUAUCAUCUAAGCUGGGAUACUUUUGAGAGUAAAAAGAGGCACUACCAGUGAUUAUGGCUAGACAACAUGGGUAAACAGGGUCUAUCCCAGGCAAAGCAAGAUGCAUAAUCACUUCACCAUAGAAUCAUCUGGAAUCAUAGUGGAUGACUAUUUUUGGAAAUCAGGUGACCUGAAUUUCCAGGAAUCUGCCAGUUGCUGAGCAAAAUUUAAUGGAUGUCUAAUAGAAGAGAAAAACCAACUGUCUGAAGUCACCAGGUUUUGAAUCCGUCUAGGGUAAGAAUUCUUCCUUUUCCUUUUUAAAAUCUUUAGUGUUUAGUGUGAAGUGGAUACUUAAUAUAUUUUAAAAUUCAUCUAACUUUUAGUUUAACAAUUAUUUAUUCAGCAUCUGCUGUAAACCACGCACUGUUCUAGGAACUGCAGAUAUAGCAGUAAACAAGGCAGACUUGUUUGCUACUCUCACAAAGCUUACAUUCCAGCCAGGAGAUAAAAAGUAAAUGAAGACCUAAGAUCAUCCUGUGUUUUCUUCAUAUAAAACAUGGUUAAAAGAUGAUUAAAGUAUAGUAGGGUAGGGAUCAGACCCAUGGUCCAGCAGAAAAACACUCCCAGACAGUAGAAAGGGUAUAUGCUGGAGGGAAAGGGCUUGGCAGAUUUGAGGAACAGAAGAAAGGCCAAAAUGACUGAGGCCCACUGAAGGAGGGAGAGCGUAGGUUGGGGAGCAAAAGGAAGUAGGCAGGGGCUGAAUAAUUGGCUGUAGAAUUUGGAUUUCAUUCUCAAGGUAAUGUGGAGUCAGUCAUGGGAGGACUUGGAACAGGGUAGCAGCAUGAUUCCAUGAAUGAAUGAAUGAAUGAAUGAAGUGACUCCAGUUCUUGGUCUGCACUCACUCACUACCUGUGAAACCUUGAUGAAACUGCUCAUCUUCAAUGAAAACAUAAGAUCCAAGUAUACCUAAAUUCCUGGAAAAGACUAAAAUUUUGGACUGCAAUGAAAGGUUUUCCCCUAAGCAACACAUUGAUUUAGAAAAUGUGAAGCCUCACCUGAGAGGAUUGUAUUUUACCUAGCAUCCUUCCUUUCGUUAUUCUUGUUUGUCCUCUUUUGUCUUCUUGUUACUCUCCUUUUUCUGAUUUAUCCUUAAGACCAAGAGAAUAGAAAAGCAAUAGCAAAAUUUCUGUAUGACUUAGUUAAUAGAACACAUUCAGUUGCCCUAAAAGGCUUGAGUGUAAAAACUAUUUUAUUCAUGGCUAACCCUUUACUUAUUAGAGGAAAUCUCCCCUCCCAUAGAAACUACAUCCCCUUUGACACAAAAAGGGCUGAUUCCAGGCCUGGAGAUUAGAAAUAAUUGAGAGAGAGUCCCCAUCUAGGGAUAGCACAAGACAGAUAAACAAUUGUUUCUGUGAUUCGAGUGACUACAAGUCAGGGACUUGGGUUUUAGUCCAGACUAAACCAAGGCACUGUCUGUCCUUGGGCGAACGCUGACUAAAUUCUUCUCCGCACUUUCAUCCUUACCUGAGGAUGUUAACAUUUGCCUCCUUAAAGUUGCACAAUAGCACUGCUUAGAAAAUUAUGUGCCCUGUGCUUUCCAGAAUUGUUUAGAAACACACUACAGACACCUCCCUUUUCAUGUUCAGUGUAUUUAUGAAGAUCUUGGCCCACAGUGAAAUAUUGUAAGGCAUAAUACUAAUUGCUUCUUCAUGGCUGCCUGCCUCUCUUCAGACUCCAGCAGAAGUGUUGGAAGAAGCAAGCGCACAAUGAGGAGGAAGCGCAGGUCUCUCAUAGGCAUCAUCAAUGGAGCAGAGAGAUGGCUGACAUCAAAGCAAGAAAACGUGCAGGAUGCCUUCAGAGACAUUAUGCCACAAAAUAUGAAUAUGAGUCAUGGGCAUUCUCUUUGAGAACUUAAUGAGAUGAUGGAUAUUAAAUAGUUUCAAAUAUAGGCAUUUCAAUAUGAAAUUAAAGACAAGAGUGUAAAACUUGUAAACUGCUCUGUACUGAAAGGUGAUUUCACAAUUGUCUCUUUUUGGGGUAGUCAGAAGAGGGUGAUCGCUCAGUUGGCCUUAUACAACAUCAACAAAAUAGGAGGCAUUUUUUUUCAGUGAGGAAUUGAGGAAAGAUGAUUCAUAAAAUUUAAUGUAUUGAACUGGUUAUUUGGGAAUAAUUUGUUUUCUUGGAAGAGAAUCUUUUCCUUUAUUUUCUCUUAAAAUUAUGUCUAUUUGCCCUCUCAAGGACACAGCACUCAGUUGUCUAGGCUGUGUGGUAAGAGCACUUCAGACUGAGCUGAAACAUUCAGCCUUGCUUUUCCUCAUUAAUGCUGACUGCUAUGAUUUACUGCUGCUGUGUUGACUUAGUACUCACUCUUUAGCCAACAGGAAAUGACACAACUGUGUGAGCACUGAAUAAUAAGUCAUUUUGAAAUUGAUCAUCCCUUUCUCUGUUUAUAGUAAAUUUGACAAAUAGUCCGUUGCAUUCUUUAGAAACCCAGACCACAUGAUUUUGGUUCUGUGUAUUAUAGGGCACAAAUAACCCUUUCCAACUGCCCCUCUCAAAUUUCAGCAUCUGUAAUGCCUGAUGCCAUUUGUUUAUAAUUCAGUAUUUCCUAGGUAAAGAAAACAGAUGAACAAAAAUACAAAACUAUCAGACCCAUUGAUUAUCUACUAAACACCCAAUUAUGCUUUAUGUCAAUUUGUCAAUGAAAUAUGAAAAAUAUUUAAGGAAUUGCCCUAAGAAAACCCUUUUAAGGAUGAGUUCUUUAUACAUUAUUUUCCUGAAGCAUGUAGUACAUUUCAAAGACACACCAUUUCCAAUAUUUUAGGAGCAUAAAAGGAAAACAGAUCAUAAUUGAGCAGCAAUUAGGCCUUCAUUUGGAGACUGCCAGAGCUUCACUGCCAAGCUGAUGAGAUGUACUGAGCUGAGUUCUUCAUGGUUAUGUGCAUAGUCAAGUGGCAUUUCUUUUUCUUUUUCUUUUUUUUUUUUUUGACAAUCUUGCUCUGUCACCAGGUGCCAGGCUAGAGUGCAGUGGCACCAUCUCAACUCACUGCAACCUCCGCCUCCCGGGUUCAAGCAAUUCUCCUGCCUCAGCCUCCCAAGUAGCUGGGACUACAGGUACAUGCCACCACAUCCAGCUAAUUUUUGUAUUUUAGUAGAGACAGGGUUUCACCCUGGUGGCCAACAUGGUCUCAAUCUCUUGACCUUGUGAUUCUCCUGUCUCGGUCUCCCGAAGUGCUGGGAUUACAGACGUGAGCCACUGCGCCUGGCCUGAAUAUUUUAAUCUAAGACUUAAAAGAGAGAUUUAGGCAGGGCAUGGUGGCUCACGCCUGUAAUCCCAGCACUUUGGGAGGCCAAGGUGGGCAGAUCAUGAGGUCAGGAGAUCGAGACCACCCUGGCCAUAGCGAAACCCUGUCUCUACUAAAAUACAAAAAAUUAGCUGGGUGUAGUGGCGUGCGCCUGUAGACCCAGCUAUUCAGGAGGCUGAGGCAGGGGAAUGGCUUGAAUCUCGGAGUCGGAGGUUGUAAUGAGCCAAGAUCAUGCCACUGCACUCCAGCCUGGCAAAAGAGCAAGACUCCAUCUCAAAAAAGAGAGAGAGAGAGAGAGAUUGAAAGAUGUCCUAUCAAGUUUCUGGAAAAAUCCUACGUGAAAAAUUUUGCCCCUCUAUUGAAAUACUCACCACCAACAACAAAUGUGAAAACCUAGUUGAGCUCAGAGUUAGUUUAAUAAAAUUUUUUUAAAUGUAGUAAUUAUUUGAAAAGAAAUGAUUGGUAGCCACUUUUAUUAUUAUUGAAUCAAAAUGAGGAAACAGAAAACAAUGGCUAGGACGUCUUGAAGAGAGUCAUUAUCCCACGCAAAGGCAAAGGCAAAGGCAGAGAGUAGAUUUUAAAGCAUUUAACCCAACGUGUUCUGUAGAUGAGUAGUAAUCAAAUAUGUCUGAGCCACGGGCUACUAAUUUGGAAGGCAAAGCUAACCAGCCAACAAAUAAAAAAUACACAGAUGUUCUCUAGGCCACUGUACCCAGGAUGAGAGGGGAGAUUGCAAAAAUUUUGAUGGCAAAUCUCUAAAGAGUUUGUACUCUGUCUGUCAUAUUUGUCUAAAAGCCAAGUGCCAUAGAUGGGGUUUUAUUAUAACUUAAAUCCUGAGUAACUUGUGAACAAAGGUUAUAAUGGCUCACUAGUGUUUUCUGGCUCUGAAUUUGAAGACCACUGCUGUAGACCAGUUUAUUAUUCUUUUGGUGGGCAGAGGGUGAUGUUUCCUUUUGACACAACUGAUUUGACUUCAGCUGAGCUAAUUCAGUAAUUCAGAUCAUAAUUUCAAGUAAAUCGGUAGCAGCCAACUGCACUUACCAAUUAGUUUAUGGCUUACCUGAUAAAGAUACUAGAAAUACAACAGUAUUGAUUCUUUUUGUCACAGAAAUGGGAAAAAAUUAUUUCUUUUCUUUUAAUUAUUAAAAUACUUUAUGUUUUUAUUUUAAAGGAUCUAGUUAAAUUUUCUUUAUAUCCUGGCUAUAUAUUAAAACCCCAAAUCUUAUUCUUUCCCUUGAAGGACACCAGUCUGGGGGAAGAGGGCAUCAUGGAAAAUAUACCCGAAUGCUCAAAAUCACACUCAAGAGUAUCUAAGAGUUUUGAUCCAGGCUGGGGUAUAGUAGCACCAUCUUGGCUCACUGCAACUUCUGCCUCCUGGGUUCAAGCAAUUCUCCUGCCUCAACCUCCUGAGUAGCUGGGAUUACAGGCACGUACCACCACACCCAGCUAAUUUUUGUAUUUUUAUAAAGACUAGGUUUCACCAUGUUGGCCAGGCUGGCCUUGAACUCCUUACCUACUGAGGUCCAUGCCUCUCGGCUUCUCAAAAUGCUGGGAUUACCAGCAUGAGCCACCAUACCUAGCCCAAUAUUGUAUUAAGAUAAGCAGGAUUUGGUCAUGAUGUAUCAUCCUUUUAAUAUACUGCAGGAAUUUCAUUACUAAUAAAUACUUUGUUAAGGAUUUUUUCUUUGUAUUUUAAUGGGAAAUAUUUCCUUGUAAAUUCUUUUGUAAGAAUUUACAGAAGAAUCCCUUUUCAGAUUUUGGUAUUAGGGUUAUAUGGCCUCAUAAAACGAAUUGAGAUGUGUGUGCUGUCCACCAUCACCAUCAGACCCCUGCCCAUCAUCUACUUUCUAGAAAAGUUUGUGUAAGAUUGAUUUUUGUUUCUUUUUUCUUAAAUGUUUGCUAGAAUUCACUCCCAAAGGCAUCUGGCCCAGAAGUUUUUUGUUGUAGGAAGGUUAUUAAUUACAAGUUAAAUUUUAAAAAUAUGUACAGAUUACACAUACCUUCUUUUAUCACUUUGGAAAUUAUAUUUUUCAAGGCAUCUGCCAUUUUCAUCUAUGUUAUCAAAAUCAUUGGCAUAGAGCUGUUCAUAAUACAUUUUUUAAACAUUAUCCUUCUAAUGUCUGCAGAAUCUGUGGUGAUAGUUCCUCUUCUAUUCUUGACUUGGAAAUUUUGUGAUUUCCUUAUAUUUUUCUUAACCUCGCUAGAGGAUUAUUAAUUUUAUUAACUUUUUGAAAAAACUUAAUUUGUUGAUUUUUGUAUUGUUUGAGAUUUAUU
This is a long non-coding RNA of Callithrix jacchus (white-tufted-ear marmoset), 8519 nucleotides long. RefSeq lists it as uncharacterized. NCBI's taxonomy places the organism in Eukaryota, Metazoa, Chordata, Mammalia, Primates, Cebidae. The record is from RefSeq and is a predicted model, not a curated record.